This is a long non-coding RNA of Maniola jurtina (meadow brown), 80 nucleotides long. RefSeq lists it as uncharacterized. The transcript has 3 exons. NCBI's taxonomy places the organism in Eukaryota, Metazoa, Arthropoda, Insecta, Lepidoptera, Nymphalidae. The record is from RefSeq and is a predicted model, not a curated record.
UUCAUCAUACAUUGAAUAUGUUUUUUUUAAAUCUUUAUUUUAAGAGAUUAUUCGCUUGGCGAAUAUGCCUCUCUAUAUAG